This 248-nucleotide ribosomal RNA is filed under the name uncultured Planctomycetales bacterium. Its description in RNAcentral is "partial 16S ribosomal RNA". It matches the Rfam family "Bacterial small subunit ribosomal RNA", at positions 434 to 674 of the family's 1533-position model. Lineage: Bacteria; Pseudomonadati; Planctomycetota; Planctomycetia; Planctomycetales. The record is from RNAcentral.
GUCGGGAGUUAGGAAAUGCAGGGGUGUUAAUAGCGCUCUUGCUUGACUAAGGCUCCAGAGGAAGCCACGGCUAACUCUGUGCCAGCAGCCGCGGUAAUACAGAGGCGGCAAGCGUUGUUCGGAAUUAUUGGGCGUAAAGAGCACGUAGGCGGCCUUGUCAGUCAGUUGUGAAAGCCUUCCGCUCAACGGAAGAAUGCCAGCUGAUACUACAGGGCUUGAGUACGGGAGGGGAGAGUGGAACUUCUGGU